CUACAGAGACCUCAAGCGUUAUCCGGAUUUAUUGGGCGUAAAGGGUGUGUAGGCGGACAUGAUAGUCAGAUGUCAAAUUCCAGUGCUCAACAUUGGAGCUGCAUCUGAAACGUCAUAUCUUGAGGCAAGUAGAGGCUCAUGGAACAUAUGGUGUAGCAGUGAAAUGCGUUGAUAUCAUAUGGAACGCCAAAGGCGAAGGCAGUGAGCUGGGCUUGUCCUGACGCUGAGACACGAAAGCGUGGGUAGCGAAUGGGAUUAGAUACCCCAGUAGUCCACGCCCUAAACGUUGCCUGCUAGGUCUUGGAAGUAUCGACCCUUUCAGGACCGAAGCUAACGCGUUAAGCAGGCCGCCUGGGAAGUACGGCCGCAAGGCUAAA
This 377-nucleotide ribosomal RNA is filed under the name uncultured bacterium. Its description in RNAcentral is "bacterial SSU rRNA". It matches the Rfam family "Bacterial small subunit ribosomal RNA", at positions 523 to 898 of the family's 1533-position model. The record is from RNAcentral.